GACGAACGCUGGCGGCGUGCCUAAUACAUGCAAGUUGAGCGCUGAAGGUUGGUACUUGUACCAACUGGAUGAGCAGCGAACGGGUGAGUAACGCGUGGGGCAUCUGCCUUUGAGCGGGGGACAACAUUUGGAAACGAAUGCCAAUACCGCAUAAAAACUUUAAACACAAGUUUUAAGUUUGAAAGAUGCAAUUGCAUCACUCAAAGAUGAUCCCGCGUUGUAUUAGCUAGUUGGUGAGGUAAAGGCUCACCAAGGCGAUGAUACAUAGCCGACCUGAGAGGGUGAGCGGCCACAUUGGGACUGAGACACGGCCCAAACGCCUACGGGAGGCAGCAGUAGGGAAUCUUCGGCAAUGGACGAAAGUCUGACCGAGCAACGCCGCGUGAGUGAAGAAGGUUUUCGGAUCGUGAAACUCUGUUGGUAGAGAAGAACGUUGGUGAGAGUGGAAAGCUCAUCAAGUGACGGUAACUACCCAGAAAGGGACGGCUAACUACGUG
This 497-nucleotide ribosomal RNA is filed under the name uncultured bacterium. RNAcentral's name for it is "partial 16S ribosomal RNA". It matches the Rfam family "Bacterial small subunit ribosomal RNA", at positions 28 to 507 of the family's 1533-position model. The record is from RNAcentral.